RNAcentral lists this long non-coding RNA (1527 nucleotides) under Crocodylus porosus (Australian saltwater crocodile). RNAcentral describes it as "lncRNA (ENSCPRG00005009627.1)". Lineage: Eukaryota; Metazoa; Chordata; Crocodylia; Crocodylidae. The record is from RNAcentral.
CAGGCAGUGGUUUCACCAGUAGCAGCCUCCCCCGUUUUUUUGCAGGUAGGAUUUUUUCAGGAAGGAUUUAACGGAGACUCAUGCAUAGGUGAUAUAGCCCAUACAAAAUAUAGAGGAGAGAUUUUUGCAUCCAGAAGCAGGCGUGCACAUGGGAAUGUGCUAAGAGCCUCAACAGAACGGAAGAGAAUAUAUUUAUGCCAAGCCACUUAGGCUUGGAAAUAGGCAGUGCUUUUACUUUAACAAUUUGCAGAUAAAGCACAAUGAGAUCCCUAUUUUUUUUUAAUAAAACCAAUGUUUUAGUGGUAUUCUGGGGCAGUAUUAUGGGGUUGGGUCUGCACUGCCCGCAUCCUGGAAGACCCUGGGCUGCAGAAGGCAGGCUGGGGAGUGAUGGAGAUGCGGCCAGGGCAAGACCCACAGGGCAGCGAUUUCCUCCUGCUGUGACCCCCACAGACAGCACAGCAUCUGCCAGCCUUGUUCCCAUCGUCACAGCUUCCAUCAUUUACAUUAUGAACAUGUGCACCAUCUGAGAUCUGGGAUCCUGGCAUAUCAUGCUGACUGAUGAUGACCUCCGUGUCAUCAGUGGAGUUUCACCCUUUGGUUUCCCCAAAGGCUUUGAAUGUAUCUUCUAUCUAUACAAUGGAAGGAAAGCAACUGGACUUUAAGAAAUAGUUUGGGUACAAACAACCCCCCUUCUUUCAGCCAAAUCCAUCGCAGAAUUCCCUUGAAGACAAAUAUCAUUAUGGCAUGAAAUUAAAAACAAAUCAGAGAGCUAGUUUUAUCUGCGUUCCUGGAAAGGCAAUGGUUAUGAACCAAGUUUGACCAUUUCCAUCCAGCUCCCAGUGAACGAGCAUCUAAUCACAAAAACUAUCAGACAAAUACGUUGGCACAGACCCAAGAUUGAAUGGCUGUUGAGAAAGCGACUUGCUCUUACUCUUGAGGAUGUCAACACUAUGGCUCCCACUGUGCCUGCAGCUUGUACAGACAUACCCAAAGUAGCUUUAAACUAGCUUGCUGUUAGGAAUGUAACUUUUGACAGCACAGAGCUCAGCAUAGGCUGCAAAACUCACCUGAAAAGCUGGGUAGACAACUCACGAGGAGCUUUGUGCUAUCAUGGGUACACUGCUAGCAGGACCUUAGGUGGCUAGUUUGAAGCUAGGUCAGGUCUGUCUACAUGAGCUGCACUGCCAGCACUGUAGUCAUGCUCUUAGGAACAGCAUCCCUUGUUGAAUUAAAGCAUUUCCACUAUAAACUUGCUUUGCUGUUGGUUGUGUUGUGGAUAAACGAGAGUCCAUGAGAACCUCCCAUCUGAUGAACGCUAAUGUUUAUCCAGAAAGGGUUGAGUUAAUUUUUUCGAGAAGUGUUAUACGGGCAUCUCUGUCUGCUAAGUGGCGGUGGCACAUGGGGUAACAUCAGUAGCUGUGCUGCCAGCAGCAGCAGUGGUGAAUAGGCUAGUAACACAGCAGCUGUUAUUUUUGCACCCCUUAAAACCCUUAACUUGGGGCCAGGAGCUGGUUCCUCUGUUGCCUC